RNAcentral lists this unclassified non-coding RNA (299 nucleotides) under uncultured Sordariomycetes. RNAcentral's name for it is "sequence contains ITS1". The stretch from base 1 to 105 matches the Rfam family "5.8S ribosomal RNA", at positions 50 to 154 of the family's 154-position model. The record is from RNAcentral. RNAcentral also lists the same sequence under 1 other name. Lineage: Eukaryota; Fungi; Ascomycota; Sordariomycetes.
GAAAUGCGAUAAGUAAUGUGAAUUGCAGAAUUCAGUGAAUCAUCGAAUCUUUGAACGCACAUUGCGCCCAUUAGUAUUCUAGUGGGCAUGCCUGUUCGAGCGUCAUUUCAACCCCUAAGCACAGCUUAUUGUUGGGCGUCUACGUCUGUAGUGCCUCAAAGACAUUGGCGGAGCGGCAGCAGUCCUCUGAGCGUAGUAAUUCUUUAUCUCGCUUCUGUUAGGCGCUGCCCCCCCGGCCGUAAAACCCCCAAUUUUUUCUGGUUGACCUCGGAUCAGGUAGGAAUACCCGCUGAACUUAA